CGGCGGCCAUAGCGGAGGGGCAACACCUGAUCUCGUCUCGAUCUCAGUAGUUAAGCCCUCCAGCGUUUUGGGUGUGUACUAUAGCCCUCGUGUUAUGGGAAGCCCGAAUCGCUGCCGGCCC
Molecule: ribosomal RNA, 121 nt
Filed under: Methanothermobacter sp. MT-2
Lineage: Archaea; Methanobacteriati; Methanobacteriota; Methanobacteria; Methanobacteriales; Methanobacteriaceae
Source: RNAcentral